RNA transcript from Myotis myotis, 6056 nucleotides. It is a transcript of the gene named family with sequence similarity 120B, with no coding region annotated. The transcript is spliced from 12 exons. The record is from RefSeq and is a predicted model, not a curated record. Lineage: Eukaryota; Metazoa; Chordata; Mammalia; Chiroptera; Vespertilionidae.
AGCGGAAGUGCGCGAGCGGCCGCGGCGGGAUCGCGGCUUCGCUGGCCGGUCUCCGGCUGAGCUGGCGCGUCUCUAGGCCAGCGUCCCCAUUCCUCGGGCCGGGUGUGCCUCCUCGCGUGCCCGUCCACACUUCUCUCCUGCGGGCUUAGAGCGCGUUGUUAGAACUGACAGCCAGUCCGCAGAUCGUAAGCCAGAGCCUGCGGAAGUCUCCGAUGAAUCAGUGUUUUAGCUUUCGCUCCUGAAUGUAAAAUUCAUAGUGGAUUCUUAUCCUGAAAUCGGGAUAAACGAGGCCUCCGUGUUGACGGGUCUGCACACAUGUUCCUCUUCUGUGACAGUGGUUGUGGUUCAUUGGCCCUUGAGGGGGAUUGGGGAACUCAGGUGGGGGCCCCCAGGGGCCCAAAUCUGGGUUGCCCUCCCUCUUGAUCAUUCUGUCAGGGCCCCAGGGACUGGGAGAACCUUCUGGAAGGACAGAUCUCUGGACUGACAUGCAAAGUGUUAGGUGUUAGAGUCCUGGUGAAAGGAAUGCAGACUCAGAGGCAGGUGGGUUCCAGUCCAGCUUCACCGUUACUGCCUGUGACACUGCUGGCCCGGCCAGCUCUUCCUGCCUUUGCGGGCAGAAGUGCCUUUUCCGAGAGUCUGCACAAUACUGAUCCUUCUGGGAGGUCAGUCAUGGGUGUGAGAGGCUUGCAGGGGUUUGUGGCAAGCAGCUGCCCACAUGUAUGUACAACAGUGAAUUUCAAAGAGCUGGCCGAGCAGCACCAAAGCAAGCAUCCCGGAUGCACGCCCACCAUCGUGGUGGACGCCAUGUGCUGUCUCAGGUACUGGUACACCCCUGAGUCAUGGGUUUGCGGUGGCCAGUGGAAGGAAUACUUUUCUGUCCUGCGAGAUUUUGUGAGAACUUUUACAGACGUUGGCAUCAAGUUGGUAUUCUUCUUUGAUGGUAUGGUGGAGAAGGAGAAGAGAGAUGUGUGGGUGAAACGGAGACUCAAGAACAACAGGGAGAUUGCCAGGAUUUUCCAUUAUAUCAAGACGCACAGGGAACAGCCCAGCAGGAGCAUGUUCUUCAUCCCCUCGGGGCUGGCCAUCUUCACGCGGUUUGCUCUGAAGACGCUGGGUCAGGAAACCCUGUGCUCCUUACAGGAGGCUGACUAUGAGGUGGCUUCUUACGGCCUCCAGAACAACUGUCUAGGGAUCCUCGGAGAAGACACCGACUACUUAAUUUAUGACUCCUGUCCCUACUUUUCCAUCAGUGAGCUCUGCCUGGACAGCCUCAGCACUGUCAUGCUCUGUAGGGAGAAGCUCUGUGCGAGUCUGGGCCUCUGCCUGGCAGACCUUCCCCUUCUGGCCUGCCUGCUGGGCAACGACGUCGUCCCGGAAGGCAUGUUUGAAACCUUUCGGUACAAGUGCUUGUCCUUCUAUACCUCUGUGAAAGAGAACUGUGACAGGAGAGGCAACGUCAUCUUAGCUGUAGCAGACCACAUAGCUAAAGUCCUUCGCUUAUAUCAAGGUGAGAAAAAGCUGGAAGAGAUGUUACCUUUGGGACCAAACAAAGCUCUUUUUUAUAAGGGGAUGGCAUCAUAUCUUUUACCAGGACAGAAAUCUCCAUGGAUUUCCCCAAAAGCCAAAGCUAUAACAACUUUGGACAAGCAGAUUAUAUCCGUGAGUUCAGACCCUGAAUCCAAGCAAGGAAGUCCUGAGAGUUCAGACCCUGAAUCCAAGCAAGGAAGUCCUGAGAGUACAGAUUCUGGAUCCAAGCAAGGAAGUCCUGAGAGUACAGAUUCUGGAUCCAAGCAAGGAAGUCCUGUGUGUACAGACCCUGAAUCUAAGCAAGAAAGUCCCAUGUGUACAGACCCUGAGUCUAAGCAGGAAGAUCCCAUGUGUACAGACCCUGAAUCCAAGCAGGAAGUUCCCAUGUGUACAGACCCUGAAUUCAAGGAGGAAGACCCCAUGAAUAUGGAGCCUGAAAUCAAGCGACAAGUAACCAUGGUUUCAGACACCGAAAUCUUAAAGGUUGCUAGAGCCCAGCACGUGCAGGCGGAGAGCUACCUGGUGUACAACAUCAUGGCCAGUGGGGAGAUCGAGUGCAGCAACACCUUGGAGGAUGCCCUGGACCAGGCCCUGCCCAGCCAGGCCUUCGUCUACCGCCCGGUGCGGCAGCGUGUGUACUCCCUCCUGCUGGCGGGUGGCCAUGAUGGUGCCAGCUGCCCUCCCGUGCAGGAGUGGUUUGUGUACUCUGGGAACCCGCUAACGCACCCGGACCUCGUGAGGCCUCUGCAGAUGAGCCUCCCAGGGGGAACGCCUAGUUUGAAACUGCUGUGGCUGAACCAUGAGCCCGGAACCCAAGCACGGCGUGUAGAGGUGCUCCUCGCCUGUUUCGACCUCUCCUCCUCGAGCGAAGAGCUGCAGGCUGUGGAGAGCCCCUUUCAAGGGCUGUGCUGCCUCCUCGCCUACCUGUUUGUGCAGGUGGACACACUGUGCUUGGAGGACCUGCACGCUUUCAUCGCUCAGGCCCUGUGCCUCCCAGGGAAGUCAGCUGGGCAUCUCGCAGACGUACAGCUCGAUCGCGUGGACCCCAGAGCCGUGCAACUGGGCUCCCUCCUGGUCCGCGGCCUGACCAUGCUACUGCUGGUCAACAGCGCGUGCGGCUUCCCCUGGAGCACGAGUGACCUCAUGCCUUGGAACGUCUUUGACGGGAAGCUGUUUCACGAGAAGUACCUGCAGACUGAGAAGGGAUACACGGUGGAGGCCCUCGUGGAGCAGAACAGGGCGCGGCUCACCCAGUUCCACCAGCUGAAGUCCGUGGUGUGCAAGGCCUGCCUGCGGGAGGACCGGCGCAUCGCCAGCCGGCAGCUCUGGCAGCCACUCCACUCAGGGAGGCGGGGAAGACCGGGAUCUGGCGCCCAUAGGACAAGCUUCGGAAACAGCCGGUCAGACCAAGGACAGCACUGGAGAGAGCAGGGCCCAGGAAGCAGACAGCAGGAGCCGGACCCGUGGAGAAGGGGCUCCUCCUCUGGGUAAGUCACCCCUUCCGUCCUCAGAGUGCGCCGUCCACCAGGCACCGACGUGAGACACACAGCCACAGCAUAGGCCACGCCAGGGGCCAGACGUGAAAGGGAGCCAGGUGUCAGGUCCUGCGGACAGGCCCCUCCCUAAGCUGACUUGGUUUCCAGAAAAGUCUUUUUUCUCUAGAAAAAGGUUGGUGAGAACAGAUGGUGAGUCUGGACUUGAAACCCUGGCAGCACCUUCCUUGUCAUCGGAGCCAUGGCUGUUCUGCCUGGAGGGGACGGGCUCGGGGUCCAGGCCUCGCUUUCCGCAGGGAGGGAGGGAGGGAGGGCAUCCUGCCCAGCUCCUCCGCAGGCCCGUGGGGAGCCUGUGGGCUGGUGCUCAGAGGUGUCGCUCCCUCCCAUCCCAGCACCCCUGGACCUGUGUCCUCUCUCAGAUUCUGACCACAGUCCUCACAGGUCACGCUCCCAACUGUCUGCUUGGGUCCUCGCUUCCUCCCUUCACUUCACUGGGAGUGUGUGCUGUCGGGCGUGUGCCGACGGGCGGGUCUCGGCCCAGGCUGCAGGCCUCCAGCAGGGGUUCCCUCUUGGAGAGGAGGGCGCAGUGAGUGUCAGGAGCCUGAUCGGGGUGUCUGCUGCUCUUGGUCGUUGGGCCCUGGAGAGCCCUUAGCAUUCAAGACAUUUAAAAGGAGCCGAGUCCCAAGCAGUCCCCGCUGACAGGCUUUCCAGGAAACCCCAGAGGUGGCAUGCUGAGCCGGGUGACCUCUGGAGCCUUGGUAACGACUAGAAGUUGAAAGCCAGGCCCUUCGCAGCAGCCAUGGCCUAAACCUGGGGGAGGGGUGACUGCCUGACUGACCCCCAGCUCCCAGAAGGACUCCUGCACGGCCCCCCCACCCCCCGCCCCGGCUGCCCUCCUCCAAGCAAGAGCCCUGCAGGCAGCUCAGGGCGUGGAGCCCCGGCCUGUCUUGUCCUGAACCCCGACCUGGCAUUUCCCGGACGUGGGUGCCGUCUCCAGGGGUGUCAUGCGUCUGUGUUUCUGACGUGUGAAGUAGCCUCGCUUCCUGCAGCUCCUCUGUACGGAUGGUAGCAGAUCUGGCUGCUCUUCAGGCAUGUCUGGUAGGACCUACAACCUGAUUUCCCAGGUUUGGAAAUACCCUCUUUUCAUUUCUCUCAGGGGUGCUUUCUGUCUAAAUCCUAACGUUUUGUUCCUUUUGUUUCUGCUGCCUCAAAGUGUCUUUUUGCUGCUCAUUUGUACACUUUGAAGUAAGCUCUCGGCCCCUAGAUGUCGGUCGGCCCCAGGAUGAGCCUCUUCCUUCCUCACAGCUCAGGUCUCUCGGGUCAGGGAGCUGUCUGUGCCGUCAGCAAGCGUAGCUGUUGGCCGAGGGGAGGUGGGGGCGUGUCUGCACUCGUUUCCAGUGUUUGGUCGCUCCCCAGUGGAGGUGAGGACUGAAAAUAAAUAAAUAAAGCAAGUGAUGUGCAGAGGCCACAGCUAGAGCGUCAUGUUCAACAUGGAAAGGUGGGAAACGUCCUCCAAGGAGUAAGACGGGUGCCAGCUCUCACCAGUUCUAGUCGCCAUUGUUCUGGAAGUUCUAACCAGAGCAAUGGGGCAGUGAAAAUAAACAAAAGGCAUUCACAGUGCAAGGAGAGGCAGUGUCUCUGUUUUUAGAUGACAUGACCUCACAUAUAGAAAAUCCUAAGGACGCCCCCCAAAACUGUCAGAACUACUAAAUGAAUUCAGUAAAGUUGCAGGAUACAAAACCAACAUACAAACACCAAUUGCGUUUCUAUACACUAAUAAAAGACUCAAAAAAAAGACUAAGAAAAACAAUCCUAUUUACAAUAGCAUCCAAAAGAACAAAAUACUUAGAAGUAAUGCUACUGAGGAGGUGAAAGAUCUGUGCGCGGAGAACUGCAACCGGGAGGCGACACCUGUGGUCCAACUGACCUUCUGCAGGACCCCAGGCCCUCUCGGCUGGAGACAUCCCUUCAGACUUGGACGUGUGACAGGAAGCAGACACAUCCUGCUUAGGGACCCUUGGGCACCGAGGUUCUCACAUCACCAGCACUCGGCACCGGGGACAAAGCUGUUCUGGCUCCUUCCCCCGCCAGCGAUCAGAGGGGAACUCUGGAACUCGGGUGGACGGCCUGCUGGCGCGUGGCAUCCCCGCAGCCUCACCCCACACGGCCUGCCUUUGAUGAGGGUGGUUGUAUGUGUGAGAUGCCACGGGGGUGGUUGCAGGGCAGUCGUUACAGCUGCUGGUCUGACCAGCCUGGAGAGAAACCUGCAGCCACGGGCCACGGAUAGGAGUGUCUCCCGCCAGCGGCCUCGGGCUCGCACUGAGGGUAGAGCUGCUGCUCCACAGUGGCUCAUCUCAGAGGCGGCCCAGGCCCUGGCUAAGGGCCCUCGUCCUGGUUUACUGGGCACACACAGCAUUCUGCUGGAUUCCUUGUUCAGAUUUGUCAGAAAUGCUGUUAGUCGCCUUAGCUGGUUUGGCUCAGUGGACAGAGCAUCGGCCUGUGGACGGAAGGAUCCUGGGUUCAGUUCCGGUCAAGAGCACGUGCCCGGGUUGUAGGCUCGGUCCCCACUGUGGGGCGUGCAGGAGGCAGCUGAUCCAUGAUUCUCUCUCCAUUGUUGAUGUUUCUCCCUCUCCCUCUGAAAUCAGUAAAAAUGUAUUUUUAAAUAAAAAGAAAUGCCAUUGGUCACAAGGUUCGCGUUUCCACUGGGGAAGGAGAUGCCUGGAUUGUGGCCACCGUUUUGCCCAGACCUUGCUCGUGGCCACGAGGGCCCAUGAGGCCACGCGUCCCCUGCUUUGUCCGGCACAAGCAGCCCGACUGGGUCUGGCGUCUCCCUGCUGUGCUGUGAGGAAGGUCUGGUGCGUUGCCAAAUAUAAACAGUGAGAAAGUGUGACCGGCUUGGUUGCUUCUGGUUUUCGUUUGGGCCAUUCGCUCACGUUCUAGAUCCGAAAAGAACGAGGGUGGCAGUGAGGUCCGGCAGGGUCACCUGUGGCCUGGGCCGCCCCUCCUCCGCUCUGUGCCUCUGGUGGCAUCUCCAGU